CCAACGGCUCUUUUAAGAGCCACCCACAAGUUUCAAAAAAAGAGCA
Non-coding RNA from Chelonia mydas (Green sea turtle), 46 nucleotides. Lineage: Eukaryota; Metazoa; Chordata; Testudines; Cheloniidae. The record is from Rfam.